ACGCUCGACACCUACUGGAGGCAGCAGUGGGGAAUAUUGCACAAUGGGGGAAACCCUGAUGCAGCGACGCCGCGUGAAGGAAGAAGUAUCUCGGUAUGUAAACUUCUAUCAGCAGGGAAGAAAAUGACGGUACCUGACUAAGGAGCCCCGGCUAACUACGUGCCCGCAGCCGCGGUAAUCUGAGCGGGCUGGCAAGGC
RNAcentral lists this ribosomal RNA (198 nucleotides) under uncultured bacterium. RNAcentral's name for it is "partial 16S ribosomal RNA". It matches the Rfam family "Bacterial small subunit ribosomal RNA", at positions 328 to 539 of the family's 1533-position model. The record is from RNAcentral.